AUUGAACGCUGGCGGCAGGCCUAACACAUGCCAGUCGAGCGGAUGAAGGGAGCUUGCUCCUGGAUUCAGCGGCGGACGGGUGAGUAAUGCCUAGGAAUCUGCCGGGUAGUGGGGGAUAACGUCCGGAAACGGGCGCUAAUACCGCAUACGUCCUGAGGGAGAAAGUGGGGGAGCUUCGGACCUCACGCUAUCAGAUGAGCCUAGGUCGGAUUAGCUAGUUGGUGGGGUGAAGGCCUACCAAGGCGACGAUCCGUAACUGGUCUGAGAGGAUGAUCAGUCACACUGGAACUUAGACACGCUCCAGACUCCUGCGGGAGGCAGCAGUGGGGAAUAUUGGACAGUGGGCGAAAGCCUUAUCCAGCCAUGCCGCGUGUGUGAAGAAGGUCUUCCGAUUGUAAAGCACUUUAAGUUGGUAUGAAGGGCAGUCAGUUAAUACCUUGCUGUUUUGACGUUAACAACAGAAUAAGCACCGGCUAACUUCGUG
RNAcentral lists this ribosomal RNA (484 nucleotides) under uncultured bacterium. RNAcentral's name for it is "partial 16S ribosomal RNA". It matches the Rfam family "Bacterial small subunit ribosomal RNA", at positions 30 to 507 of the family's 1533-position model. The record is from RNAcentral.